This 553-nucleotide ribosomal RNA is filed under the name uncultured archaeon. RNAcentral describes it as "bacterial SSU rRNA". It matches the Rfam family "Archaeal small subunit ribosomal RNA", at positions 326 to 879 of the family's 1478-position model. The record is from RNAcentral.
CGGGGUGCAGCAGGCGCGAAAACUUUACAAUGCCGGCAACGGCGAUAAGGGGACCUCGAGUGCCAGGUUACAAAUCUGGCUGUCGUGAUGCCUAAAAAGCAUUGCAUAGCAAGGGCCGGGCAAGACCGGUGCCAGCCGCCGCGGUAACACCGGCGGCUCGAGUGGUAACCGUUAUUAUUGGGUCUAAAGGGUCUGUAGCCGGCCGGAUAAGUCUCUUGGGAAAUCUGGCAGCUUAACUGUCAGGCUUUCAGGAGAUACUGUCUGGCUCGAGGCCGGGAGAGGUGAGAGGUACUUCAGGGGUAGGGGUGAAAUCUUGUAAUCCUUGAAGGACCACCAGUGGCGAAGGCGUCUCACCAGAACGGACCUGACGGCAAGGGACGAAAGCUAGGGGCACGAACCGGAUUAGAUACCCGGGUAGUCCUAGCCGUAAACGAUACUCGCUAGGUGUCGGCCACGGUGCGACCGUGGUCGGUGCCGUAGGGAAGCCGUGAAGCGAGCCACCUGGGAAGUACGGCCGCAAGGCUGAAACUUAAAGGAAUUGGCGGGGGAGCAC